RNAcentral lists this ribosomal RNA (381 nucleotides) under Thalassiosira minuscula. RNAcentral describes it as "partial Bacterial large subunit ribosomal RNA". It matches the Rfam family "Bacterial large subunit ribosomal RNA", at positions 1 to 384 of the family's 2925-position model. The record is from RNAcentral. Lineage: Eukaryota; Bacillariophyta; Thalassiosirophyceae; Thalassiosirales; Thalassiosiraceae.
AGCGUCAAAAGGGCAUCCGGGGGAUGUCUUGGCGGUAAGAGGCGAUGAAGGACGUGGCACUCUGCGAUAAGCACGGGGGAGGCGAGAGCACCCUUUGAUCCCGUGAUUUCCGAAUGGGGAAACCCAUCUCCGAGAUGUUUGACUAUAACCCAACUUCUGUUGAGUGAUGGUCAUACAUUUCAAUAGUGAGAUAUAAUACACUGAAUACAUAGGUGUUAUUAAGCAAACCCGGGGAAUUGAAACAUCUAAGUACCCGGAGGAAAGGACAUCAAUUGAGACUCCCUUAGUAGCGGCGAGCGAACGGGGACCAGCCGAGCCAUGAAUGUGACUAGAACGACCUGGAAAGGUCGGCCAUAGCGGGUGACAGCCCCGUAUAGGAAG